This 1393-nucleotide ribosomal RNA is filed under the name uncultured bacterium. RNAcentral describes it as "bacterial SSU rRNA". It matches the Rfam family "Bacterial small subunit ribosomal RNA". The record is from RNAcentral.
AGAGUUUGAUCCUGGCUCAGGAUGAACUCUAGCGACAGGCUUAACACAUGCAAGUCGAGGGGCAGCGGGGUUGGCAACGACCGCCGGCGACCGGCGCACGUGUGAGUAACACGUAUGCAACCUGCCCGCCACAGGGGGAUAACCGGGAGAAAUCCCGACUAAUACCGCGUACAGCCGGAGGGGGGCAUCCCCCGUCGGUGAGAGCUACGGCGGUGGCGGAUGGGCAUGCGGGGCAUUAGCUAGACGGCGGGGCAACGGCCCACCGUGGCGACGAUGCCUAGGGGUUCUGAGAGGAAGGUCCCCCACACUGGUACUGAGACACGGACCAGACUCCUACGGGAGGCAGCAGUGAGGAAUAUUGGUCAAUGGGCGGGAGCCUGAACCAGCCAAGUCGCGUGAGGGAUGAAGGUCCUAAGGAUUGCAGACCUCUUUUGCCGGGGAGCAACGGCCGCCACGCGUGGCGGAAUGAGAGUACCCGGAGAAAAAGCAUCGGCUAACUCCGUGCCAGCAGCCGCGGUAAUACGGAGGAUGCGAGCGUUAUCCGGAUUUAUUGGGUUUAAAGGGUGCGUAGGCGGACGUUCAAGUCGGCGGUCAAAUGGGCGGGCUCAACCCGUUCGCGCCGUCGAAACUGGGCGACUUGAGUAGGAGAGGGGCACGCGGAAUGCGCGGUGUAGCGGUGAAAUGCAUAGAUAUCGCGCAGAACUCCGAUCGCGAAGGCAGCGUGCCGGCUCCUCACUGACGCUGAAGCACGAAAGCGUGGGGAUCGAACAGGAUUAGAUACCCUGGUAGUCCACGCAGUAAACGAUGAGCACUAGGUGUGCGGCCGGAUUGGGCUGCGUGCCACAGCGAAAGCGUUAAGUGCUCCACCUGGGGAGUACGCCGGCAACGGUGAAACUCAAAGGAAUUGACGGGGGCCCGCACAAGCGGAGGAACAUGUGGUUUAAUUCGAUGAUACGCGAGGAACCUUACCCGGGCUCGAACGGCGGGGGACGGGCACUGAAAAGUGCCUUCACGCGAGUGUCCCCGCCGAGGUGCUGCAUGGUUGUCGUCAGCUCGUGCCGUGAGGUGUCGGCUUAAGUGCCAUAACGAGCGCAACCCCCGCCGGCAGUUGCUAACGGGCAAUGCCGAGGACUCUGCCGGGACUGCCGGCGCAAGCCGCGAGGAAGGCGGGGAUGACGUCAAAUCAGCACGGCCCUUACGUCCGGGGCGACACACGUGUUACAAUGGCGGGUACAGCGGGAAGCGACCGUGCGAGCGGGAGCGGAGCCCGAAAACCCGUCUCAGUUCGGAUCGGAGUCUGCAACCCGACUCAAUGAAGCUGGAUUCGCUAGUAAUCGCGCAUCAGCCAUGGCGCGGUGAAUACGUUCCCGGGCCUUGCACACACAGCCCGUCA